Molecule: ribosomal RNA, 492 nt
Filed under: uncultured bacterium
Lineage: Bacteria
Description: partial 16S ribosomal RNA
Rfam family: Bacterial small subunit ribosomal RNA
Source: RNAcentral
AGUGAACGCUGGCGGUAGGCCUAACACAUGCAAGUCGAACGGCAGCACACUAAGAGCUUGCUCUUACGGGUGGCGAGUGGCGGACGGGUGAGGAAUACAUCGGAAUCUACUUUUUCGUGGGGGAUAACGUAGGGAAACUUACGCUAAUACCGCAUACGACCUACGGGUGAAAGCAGGGGAUCUUCGGACCUUGCGCGAUUGAAUGAGCCGAUGUCGGAUUAGCUAGUUGGCGGGGUAAAGGCCCACCAAGGCGACGAUCCGUAGCUGGUCUGAGAGGAUGAUCAGCCACACUGGAACUGAGACACGGUCCAGACUCCUACGGGAGGCAGCAGUGGGGAAUAUUGGACAAUGGGCGCAAGCCUGAUCCAGCCAUACCGCGUGGGUGAAGAAGGCCUUCGGGUUGUAAAGCCCUUUUGUUGGGAAAGAAAAGCAGCAGGUUAAUACCCCGCUGUCCUGACGGUACCCAAAGAAUAAGCACCGGCUAACUUCGUG